CCCCUCAUCCUGGAUCAUACCACCCAGCUUUUAUUCCAGUCUCAGAGCCUGGGCGAGACUCCAUCCUGACCCUCCUCAGACCCUGCUCUGAUUUUCUUCGUGGAACAUGUCCACAUGUAUCUCUAAAGGGCUUUCUGUGGCGACAGAAGCAGAAGAAUAUGCACACCUCCGCAUCUCUGCCCUUCACUGAAGAUCGUUUUGUGGAAAUUGUCAGUACAUGUGUUUGUAAACACCUGAUACCAUUUUUCAUGAGGAGUGGGGAAGGGAAGAAGAAAGAGAGGGAGAGAAACAUUGAUGCCAGAGGGAAACACCGAUUGGUUGCCUUCCGUACAUGCCCCAACAGGGGACUGAACCCUCAACCCAGUCAUAAGCCCCGACCUUUGAUUUGAGGGAUGGCACCCAACCGACUAAGCCUCACCAGUCAGGGCAGCUAUCAACUCUUCGUCAUCUACUACAGGCCAAGCAGAUAAGAAAAGUUUUCCAAUGAAGAGUUGGAAAUCACAGAAAAUUUGAAAUUGGGGUUCAGCACGACCUGCUGCCUGGGCAGAUUCCAUCAGAGCUGAAGGAGACACCUUCCAGAGAUGUGUGGAUCCAAAUGGAAGAAAUGUCUCACUUGCUGAGCUUUCCUAACUGUCCUGCUCGUUUUCUAUCCCACGUAUCUUUAUGCAAGGAGGUUUGUUGAAAUAUUGCCUGACUUAGGGUGUUUUUUUGUAAUACGCAUACAUUAGAUGGAAAUGUAUCCAAACAUCUGUUUCCAAAUGCUCUUGCUGUGGAUUAAUUUCUUUUGAAAAGAAAUUACUUUCUCACUAAUUGUUAAAUGACCACUUCUACCUUGAAAGGACAGAUAAUGUGUUUACUUUUAAAAAAAAUACAUGCUAGAUGACCUACUAAGAAUAGCUACUCGCCAAGGCUCAUCUGCAACAUCUGUCUUUUUGUCAGAAAGGAAACAAGUGCCUCAUUCCCGGGUUCCAUAACUCCUUUAAACACACUGCCCUGAGCUAGUCUGCGUCCUGCCAGAGACCUAUGUGGCCAUCCACCGCAUGGUGACAUGUCAGAAGAUCCUCUGGGAGGGCUUUGUUUAUGAAGUUAAUCACACCAAUAACAUCCUCUAGGCAUGGAAACUGCAAUUCUUGGCCAUAAGCUGGACCUAGGACCACAAGAAGCUGCCUCACUCCUCCUCCUGACAACAGCCCCUCCUUGCGUAAGUUGUCUGCUUACAGUAACAGCAGUCACGUGACAAAUCCAUCUCAGGGCUGGUCCAGGGGAGGGCACCUGAACGGAUGGGUAUUCCUGAGCAUCUCAUAGGGGGUGUGCCCCCUGAUUGGAGCAUUCUACACAAAGGACUCUCUCUGGUUAAACUCAAAAACUUGUUUUUCUUUAGCCUCUUUUUCUUUUACUUCUUUAAAGUAAAAUACCUGGAAGAUUCAGUGUUCACAGGAGCGUGUACCCUUAGAGGAGUUGGCUAGUGGGGCUCUGGGAAGGCCUGGCAAGGAGACCUCCACCCAACACCCUCCACGGUCCCAGGGCCUGGGACAGAGAUGGUGAGAAAGGCAACGUCAACGGCUUCCACUUACGGAGCUAUUGUUUUGUGUCCUCCUACUCUGUGCUCAGUAAAUGAAGUUGACUCUC
This is a long non-coding RNA of Artibeus jamaicensis (Jamaican fruit-eating bat), 1629 nucleotides long. RefSeq lists it as uncharacterized. The transcript is spliced from 4 exons. The record is from RefSeq and is a predicted model, not a curated record. NCBI's taxonomy places the organism in Eukaryota, Metazoa, Chordata, Mammalia, Chiroptera, Phyllostomidae.